RNAcentral lists this ribosomal RNA (102 nucleotides) under Acinetobacter baumannii. Lineage: Bacteria; Pseudomonadati; Pseudomonadota; Gammaproteobacteria; Moraxellales; Moraxellaceae. RNAcentral also lists the same sequence under 74 other names. The record is from RNAcentral.
CGCGGUGGUCCCACCUGACCCCAUGCCGAACUCAGAAGUGAAACGCCGUAGCGCCGAUGGUAGUGUGGGGUCUCCCCAUGUGAGAGUAGGGAACUGCCAGGC